CCUACGGGAGGCAGCAGUGGGGAAUAUUGCACAAUGGGCGCAAGCCUGAUGCAGCGACGCCGCGUGGAGGAUGAAGUCCCUUGGGAUGUAAACUCCUUUCAAUCCCGACGAUAAUGACGGUACCGAAAGAAGAAGCACCGGCUAACUCUGUGCCCUCCGCCGCGGUAAUACGGGGGGGGCAAGCGUUGCUCGCAAUUACCGGACGCACAGGGCUCGUAGGCGGCCAACUAAGUCUUACGUGAAAUCCCUCAGCUUAUCCGGGUAACUGCCUCUGAUGCUGGAUGGCUUGAGUUUGGGAGAGGGAUGCGAAAUUCCCGGAGUAGCGAUGAAAUGCGCAAAUAUCGGGGGGAACACCGGUGGCGAAGGCGGUUCUCUGGGCCUGUACUGACGCUGAGGUGCGAAAGCUUGGGGAGCAAACAGGAUUAGAUACCCUGGUACCCCACGCCGUAAACGAUGGAUGCUAUGCCGUUGUCGGGUUUACCCGUCAGUGGCGCAGCUAACGCAUUAAGCAUCCCGCCUGGGGAGUAGGGUCGCAAGAUUAAAACUCAAAGGAAUUGACGG
This 561-nucleotide ribosomal RNA is filed under the name uncultured bacterium. Its description in RNAcentral is "bacterial SSU rRNA". It matches the Rfam family "Bacterial small subunit ribosomal RNA", at positions 338 to 916 of the family's 1533-position model. The record is from RNAcentral.